Molecule: small nucleolar RNA, 132 nt
Filed under: Mus musculus (house mouse)
Lineage: Eukaryota; Metazoa; Chordata; Mammalia; Rodentia; Muridae
Description: AK172090 snRNA
Rfam family: Small nucleolar RNA SNORA26
About the family: The snoRNA HBI-6 belong to the H/ACA family of snoRNAs, guiding the pseudouridylation of position U4522 if the 28S rRNA. HBI-6 is the human orthologue of mouse MBI-6 snoRNA.
Source: RNAcentral
CGCCCUUUCCUGUGCCCUUUUAAGGUUGUCGCAGUACUUUAAGAGGCUAACACAGAAGGGUAAAGGAACUCUCCAUAAAACCCAGAGAGGAAAACUACACCUCCUCUUUGGAUCCUGUCUGGAGUCACAAAU